This 879-nucleotide ribosomal RNA is filed under the name Sclerocleista ornata. RNAcentral describes it as "LSU rRNA". It matches the Rfam family "Eukaryotic large subunit ribosomal RNA", at positions 71 to 966 of the family's 3401-position model. The record is from RNAcentral. Lineage: Eukaryota; Fungi; Ascomycota; Eurotiomycetes; Eurotiales; Aspergillaceae.
GGGAUUGCCUCASUAACGGCGAGUGAAGCGGCWAGAGCUCAAAUWUGAAAUCUGGCCCCCUCCGGGGUCCGAGUUGUAAUUUGCAGAGGAUGCUUUGGGUGCGGCCCCCGUCUAAGUGCCCUGGAACGGGCCGUCAUAGAGGGUGAGAAUCCCGUCUGGGACGAGGUGUCCGUGCCCGUGUAAAGCUCCUUCGACGAGUCGAGUUGUUUGGGAAUGCAGCUCUAAAUGGGUGGUAAAUUUCAUCUAAAGCUAAAUACUGGCCGGAGACCGAUAGCGCACAAGUAGAGUGAUCGAAAGAUGAAAAGCACUUUGAAAAGAGAGUUAAACAGCACGUGAAAUUGUUGAAAGGGAAGCGCUUGCGACCAGACUCGCCUACGGGGUUCAGCCGGCAUUCGUGCCGGUGUACUUCCCCGUGGGCGGGCCAGCGUCGGUUUGGGCGGUCGGUCAAAGGCCUCCGGAAUGUAUCACCCCCCGGGGUGUCUUAUAGCCGGAGGUGCAAUGCGGCCAGCCUAGACCGAGGAACGCGCUUCGGCUCGGACGCUGGCAUAAUGGUCGUAAGCGACCCGUCUUGAAACACGGACCAAGGAGUCUAACAUCUACGCGAGUGUUCGGGUGUCAAACCCGUACGCGCAGUGAAAGCGAACGGAGGUGGGAACCCCUUGUGGGCGCACCAUCGACCGAUCCUGAAGUCUUCGGAUGGAUUUGAGUAAGAGCGUAGCUGUUGGGACCCGAAAGAUGGUGAACUAUGCCUGAAUAGGGCGAAGCCAGAGGAAACUCUGGUGGAGGCUCGCAGCGGUUCUGACGUGCAAAUCGAUCGUCAAAUUUGGGUAUAGGGGCGAAAGACUAAUCGAACCAUCUGGUAGCUGGUUCCUGCCGAAG